GGCCCCCGCUGGCCUCCCCCAGUAUCGCGGCUACUUCCCUAACACCACCUCCAGCCCCCUUUGCCCUUCCCUGUGUCUGCCCGUUUUCUUUCCCUUCCACUCUCCCUAGCUGUGGGCUAAGCUGAAGACAGGGGCAGAGAGACUGGAGAGAUGGUAGGCGUGCCUGAGAUAUUGGGGUGCUCCCCUGGAUGGUACUCUGGGGGGGUCUUGGAAGUGAAAAUUUGAAUUGUUAGGUUUUGGGGUUCCUGGAGGGGGCAAGAUAGCAGGUAGUGGCUGCAGGGCUGUCAUGGUACAAUUUUGGGGCAUUCUAUACUACACUUCAGGGAAAAGGACCUGAAGUUUUAAGAGGCUGUGGGGAGACCCCAGAUCUGACCCAUGCUCCCAUCGGCCCCCUCCCAGGUUUCCUGUGGCCAGGCAGAAAGCAGCGAGCCCAAUGCUGAGGACAGGACGUCCAAAGAUUACUACUUAGACUCCUAUGCCCAUUUCGGCAUCCAGAGAUGCUGAAGGACGAGGUUCGCACCCUCACAUAGCAACUCCGUGUUUCACAACCAGCACCUCUUCAAGGACAAGGUGGUGCUGGAUGUGGGCUCAGGCAGGGGCAUCCUCUGCACGUUCGCUGCCGAGGCUGAAGGGUCGUCAGGGAGGUGGACAUCUAUACUGUCAAGGUGGGAGACCGGAUGUUCACCUCCCGCUUCUGUCUGCAGGUGAAGCAGAAUGACUAGGUGCACGCCCUGGUGGCCUACUUCAAUAUCCAGUUAUAGAACUGAUAACAGGUGAGCUUUCUUGGGGGUCAUGUCCUCCACCAGAGAUUUCAAUGGAAUGAUCCCAUUUAGCCCCCACUACAAGCUCAUGGGGGUCUGUUAUUAUCCUUGUCUUGUGCGGGUGGAAAGUCUCCAUUGUGCAGAGUGUUGAAAUCAGAAUUUGUACAUGAAACCACAGUCCUGAAUCAUUCAUAUCCCAGGACCCUCUUCCCUUUCUCUGACUC
RNAcentral lists this long non-coding RNA (985 nucleotides) under Rhinopithecus bieti (black snub-nosed monkey). Its description in RNAcentral is "lncRNA (ENSRBIG00000045419.1)". Lineage: Eukaryota; Metazoa; Chordata; Mammalia; Primates; Cercopithecidae. The record is from RNAcentral.